UACGGGGGGGGCAAGCGUUGUUCGGAAUUACUGGGCGUAAAGGGCGCGUAGGCGGUUCGCUAAGUUGGAUGUGAAAACUCUGGGCUCAACCCAGAGCCUGCAUCCAAAACUGGCGGGCUAGAGUUCUGGAGGGGGUAGCGGAAUUCCUGGUGUAGCGGUGAGAUGCGUAGAUAUCAGGAGGAACACCGGUGGCGAAGGCGGCUACCUGGACAGAAACUGACGCUGAGGCACGAAGGCCAGGGGAGCAAACGGG
RNAcentral lists this ribosomal RNA (253 nucleotides) under uncultured bacterium. RNAcentral's name for it is "partial 16S ribosomal RNA". It matches the Rfam family "Bacterial small subunit ribosomal RNA", at positions 524 to 776 of the family's 1533-position model. The record is from RNAcentral.